ACAUGAAGCUGUCAGAAUGCAUGCAUUGUUAGCUUCAAAACGUCAAACUCUUUUGAGGUCAAUUGUGAAUUUUUCUUGUGUGCUUCAUGUGAAGAAUGAUAUUUUUUAUGGCUUGCAAAAUUGCUCUUUAUGUGGAGUACAAGUAAUCACUUACAGUAUGAGCAAACCCACAUGGAAUCUGCACCUGCAGAACUCCACAGGAAGACAGAAAUCAAAUAGCCAGUUUAUUAGAACAGAGCUUUUGUCUCAUGUAUCACCAUAUAUCCAUUCCAGUGUAACUGUAUAUGUAUUCAUUUCCUCACAGGCAAUAGUGGACACAGGAAAGACCAUGAGAGCCCUUCUACAGCACAUGGAGACUUUCCAGCCCAAAUGGUGAAAGCUGAAGGGCUGCUGGUUUAAGAGGGUUCCUCACGGGGCAGUGGAGCUCCCAGACUGUGAGUGAUCGAGGGUGCUCAAACACUACUUCUGGCCUGCAGAAAUGGGCCAUAAUGAAUCACAAUAUCACGCAGGGGAUAGAGAGAUUAUCUGAACAUGACUGCGAUUACUGUGAUCUGGUUAUUUAUGUUUCUCUGCAGAUGAUGGUUUUGUUAUUCCUAAUCGUGUCAUGGUGGGUUAUGCUCUGGACUACAAUGAGAGACCUCAAUCACAUCUGUGUCAUCAGUGAGAUGGGGAAACAGAAGCUCCUCUUUCAAGAGGAAUGGACAUUUACAUUACCAUAACAGAUGAAAAACUCGUUUUGCAAGAUUACUGUGAUCUCAAAUCAGAGAUAAAUCUGAUCUCUCAAAUCUGAUAUCUGUAACUGACAUGCCGAAUUAUGUUUGAAAUGUAAUAUAUUUUGCAUGAAUUGGGUAAAGUCACACAUCGCAGUACUAACGUGAUAUGAUGUGGAAAACAGACUUACUGUGUGCCAUUUUAUAUGCUGUAUAAAAGCCAAGCUGUUCAUUUUUGUCCUAUUUAGAAGAUAUUUGUUUGACAGACCAUCCAUGGCACUAUUUCACAUAAAAGAUGUUUACAUGUAGUACAAGAGACAAUAAUAGCUGAAUUUAUAAAAAUGACUCCGUUCAAAAGUUGACAUCUCCUUGAUUCUUAUUAAUGUGUUCUUACCUGAAUGUGAUAGUUGUUCAUAAGUCCCUUGUUUGUCCUGAACAGUUAAACUGCCUGCUGUUCUUCAGAAAAAUCCUUCAGGUCCCGAAAAUUAU
Molecule: long non-coding RNA, 1199 nt
Organism: Cyprinus carpio (common carp)
Lineage: Eukaryota; Metazoa; Chordata; Actinopteri; Cypriniformes; Cyprinidae
Exons: 3
Source: RefSeq, a predicted model, not a curated record